AGCAAAUAGAUACCCAGGUAGUCCACGCCGUAAACUAUGGACACUAGGUGUGGGGGGUAUCGACCCCCUCCGUGCCGCAGCUAAACGCAAUAAGUGUCCCGCCUGGGGAGUACGGCCGCAAGGCUAAAACUCAAAGGAAUUGACGGGGGCCCGCACAAGCAGCGGAGCGUGCGGUUUAAUUCGUCGCAACGCGAAGAACCUUACCAAGGCUUGACAUGCUAGUGGUACUGAUCCGAAAGGUGAGGGACCCUUCGGGGAGCUAGCACAGGUGCUGCAUGGCUGCCGUCAGCUCGUGCCGUGAGGUGUUGGGUUAAGUCCCGCAACAGCGCAACCCCUGUUGCCAGUUGUAUUCUCUGGCGAGACUGCCCCGUAAACGCGGGGAGGAAGGCGGGGAUGACGUCAAGUCAGCACGGCCCUUACGUCUUGGCCACUCGCACGCUACAAUGGCCGGUACAACAGGUCGCGAAGGAGCGAUCCGGAGCU
RNAcentral lists this ribosomal RNA (483 nucleotides) under uncultured bacterium. RNAcentral describes it as "bacterial SSU rRNA". It matches the Rfam family "Bacterial small subunit ribosomal RNA", at positions 767 to 1269 of the family's 1533-position model. The record is from RNAcentral.